Molecule: long non-coding RNA, 4580 nt
Filed under: Gallus gallus (chicken)
Lineage: Eukaryota; Metazoa; Chordata; Aves; Galliformes; Phasianidae
Description: long non-coding RNA NONGGAT003298
Source: RNAcentral
CAAAGACUUCCUUCUUUGAACUCCCAACAUCUAGAAAAAUGACUUGGAAAGCUUUGCUUUUCUCCUCUCUUUGCCAGUAGGUAAGCUGGUUUUCCACGUCUGUUCUGCCUGGUUCCACGUUCCAGUGAUGCUGAGCUGUGUUUGUGCACACUGGAUGCUCACACUUAGUGCGCUUUGCCAGGAAUCCAGUCCUGAAUGUGUGAAAUACUCUUUGGGAAAUUGAACUCUAUCAGUACAUUUGCAGAAAGCAGAGAGGAUGAGAAUUGAAAGUAACAUCUAAGUGUGCAUUUGUUGGCAGAGCCCCUGGUGAAUUGUCUGUGUUGGACAGAUGAUCCCAUUCUUGGGUAUGGGAGCAAAGAAGUUUGUUUCACAAACUGACUGUUGGUGACUGCAGGAAGCAAUAAGUAGCAAGUUUAGUUGUUACAGACAUGGAGAGCUUCUUGUAAAUUUGCAUUUAUCGAGUGGAGGAUAUGCUGUAUUUGUCCAGUUUCCAACCAGGCAUGUGGUCAUCCUUCUAUUGCAACUAUAUAUGUAGUUGUCAUAUGCAUGACAAUAAAAGCUUUUUAAGCAAUGUUAGCACUAGAAUCCAUUGGGAAGUCUUGCUUCCUACACUCCAUCUUUUCAUUUAAAUGUCCUCUUUUGCACUGUGUUGCAAAUAGAAUUAGUUAUUUUGGUUACUCUUAUGGGACUGUUUAAGUUUUGGUCCAUCUUCUAAAAGUGAAUGUGAGCAUUGGGCUCCCAGAUUAUAACACUGACAUAAAUUACUUUGUGUAGCCUGUAAGAUAGCUGUAGUUGUUUAACGUUGACUUGUGUUGUGGCUUUAAAACUGCUACAUGUUUUUGUUUUAAUGUUGUUGGUGCAGAAAGCACCAGUACAAACAGCUGCUGUACAGAUAGCUCCCUGAAAGCACUGUAAGCCUCAAAAUACUGCAGUACAUCAUUCACCCAGAAGAGGGAAUUCUGCAGCUGGGUCUCAUGUCCUGCACAGAAGGAUUCUCCCUCGCCCUCUUAGUGAUUAACACUGAGGAACAAUAAUGACAAAUAAUGAGUAGUUUAUUCUGGCAGUCUUCAUACAGUGUAACCUUGUGUAAAAUGUAGAGAGUGAAUAAUAACAAAAAUUGUCAAGCACUCAAAAGUGGUUGUACAGAGCUGAUUUUGAAGUUUGACUGCAGCAUACCCUGGCAUUACAGAAGCUUGGUCAGAUGCUGUAGCAUCCUUUGCUGUAGGUUUCCAGUCCUGUGAAAUGCAAAUAGCAAACUGAAGGAGAGCCUUCCUGUGCAUUGCUUCCUGCCUGGCUCCAACCUAGUUUGUUUGUGUGCAUGUUGAGAGGAGGGUGUAUGUGUGCAUUUCCAUACGCACAGAGCUCUUUGUCUUAGGCUUUGUUUGACUUCUUUAUUUGUGCAUUUCUCCACUUUGAGCUUUCUCUUUGAUACUUUUUGCCUGCUAACUUGUCAGCAAAGCACACUGGGAUGGUUUCACACAGCAGCCCACCUUGUUGGCACGUUCAGUCGCCUCAAUGGCUAAUUUACUCAGAUAAUACCUGGAAAAUAUUAGAAUGGGCACCUUCAGGUGUAGCAUUCCCAGCCCCCAGACCUGUUCUCAGUGCAGUUUUUGCUCUUUGCUGCUGGGGACAAAUGUCCACAUUCUCCACAGGUUCUCAGAACCAGGAGUAGAAGUUCUUGUUUCAGUUCAGCCCUUUCCUUCUGCCUCUAUGUUACAUGCACUGAUGCUCACAGCUUUUUUUUAGUGUAUAUUAUUGUAUUUAACUGGUUAAAGCAAGCCAACUUAAAGCACUGUACCUUAGCUGUAAACAGCAUAACAGUAUGAAUGUUAUAAUACUACUUUUUUACUUAGGAACACUUUUAGGAAGAGCAGCGCUGCGACCUAGCUCGUUAAUCUGUGGGUAGAGUAGGACACUUGGGAAACUUCACGUGUUCUAACUGAAAAUCCUUUUUGUUCUGUAUCUCAUACUUAGCAGUAUUUGCAGUUUUCUUUAAAAAGAAGCAAGAUUGUUAGUUAGGAGUAGACUAGUUGUAACUAUACUCAGUUAGGAGUAGACUAGGGCAUCUUUAGAUUUAAAAACAGUAGUAGCAUCACUGAUCCUGUUGAAUGUGAACCACUGACUUAAAAAUGCUCUGAUUUUUUGCUCUGAGACACUGUAGCUGCAUCUUGAAUGUAGGAAAGAAACAAUGGAGGGCAUUUAGCAAUUAGGUGUACUGAGAGAAUUUGCAGGUUCUGUAUUGUAGCAUUGUUUAGGCCACUGUUCUAAAGGCAUGGCUUGAUCAAAAUUUCUUUGUCUCACUAAGAGUGCUGAAUACCCAGUGCAGGUUUUGGGCAUCUCAGGGACAGACCAGCUGGAGUAAAGCCACAUGCCUCCAUUAAACCUAGUGAUGUUACACUGUUGUGCUUCAGCUGAGGAUCUGGCCUUUACUGUUCGAAGGUAUGAAUGUAUUUAAAAUUUUACUUCUCAUCAAUACUACCCUGUUUACUGUGCUGUAAAUUCUUCUUAUUAUUGUAUAUAGUUGUUGCACUGCUUCGUUUGCAACUUGUUUGCAGGUUUCAGCAUAAAUCCUUUUCUCCUGAAGGGUGAGUGGGAGCUCAUAUUGUGAGUUUGUUGCAUUCUGAGUCUUUCAAGUUUACAUCCCUCAGAAGCCAUUUUGUCACCUACCAAUGUUGUAAUCCUUGAGUACCUCCAGCCAUCUUCUCUUUAUAGGGUUUUUAUAGUUAAACAGAAUGGGUUUUUAUUUUUGUAGCUUGUAACUUCAACUGUAUAGUAGUUACUCCUAUUCAGUAAUGAGUGGUCAGAAUACUGUACCAAUGUGACUGAAAAGCUGUAACUGUAAUAAUAACUACUUGCAAGAAAAUACCAGCAUGUUAAAAGUUUAAAAAAGAGAAGUUAUUCUUUAGCUUGGAAAUACUGUGAUACGGUGACUUGGAACUUGUAUUGGAUGUAUGUGCAUAUUCUGAAGUUGCUUUAAAUAAGGAAAGAAAAGAAUAAAACCUGAGCUUAGCAUGCAAAUAAUAGGCCAAAAGGGGAAACUGUAAACAGUUUUAUCAACCAAGACAGACAUUUAGGACUGGGUGGGUUCUAUGUUUCUCUUAUAUAGCGCUGAAGCAGGACUGGUCACGGAGUAGUUGUUUCCUUGUGGUGCAGUUUAAGUGUCCAACCACAACAAAAGCCACCUGCACCGUUCCCUCUGUGUUCCCAGAAACAGAUCUCAGAGCAAAACUGAAUGCUCGUUGCUGUGAGCUGCGUGAGAUCGUACAGCAUAGCGCUGAGCCUCCAAUGCAGGCUCUGAAGGCGAGUUGUUAUGUGGUUCUUGGCAUCGCACUGCUCUUAAAUGCCACAUGCUUCUUCCUUUGGUGUUAAAAAGGAGACAAGUGACAAAGGAGGGGGGUGAGGAGCGGGACUGCAGCCCUCACUGCCAGCAGCUGGGCUGUCGGUGUGAUUGUAGAGCUUCCCAUCACGGUCUACUUUGUUUGCAAUUCUUGUUGGCUUAAUCCAGUAUUUCUGAAGCAGGUGGUGCUGGCGUUGACCUGUGAGCUGGUGCCAGCUUCACUCAAAUCAUACUUAAGGGCAAUACAUAUUAUUUGCCUGGGCGAGGUUCUGCCUAUUAAAACCACACCUCGGUGCAGUCACAGCGCUGUCAGGGCCUGAACCCUGCAUUAACAGAAAUGAAAGUGAAACCUUUUGUCUGCAGUCAGCUGUAUUGCAGUCUGUUACUGAGACGUGAGCUCCUGAAGGCUCUUUGGAGGAAGGGCAGCUCCGUCUCCUUCACACAGCCUUGCAACUACAGGUUUUCAAAGGACUGACUCUGCUACUGAGUUUCCUAACGAGCUGUUUUGUUGUCCUGUUGUUUGUACUGUAUUUAUCUGUGGUCUCAAAUGUGUGGAUUAAAGUAUUUAAACUCAAUUUUUCCUGAUUCUCACUAUACAUAGAAGCGUAGUUCUGGGAUCUGCACGGGCCUGGUGGCGAAGAUGGCCGCCGCUCAGCUGUGUUACCACACGGCGCGAGGCAGAAGAGCGGCCUGAAGCCGCGCGGUGCAUCCCGGUCCUGUGGGGCCGUAGAGACGCGCAGGGCGGGGCUGCGUUCUGGAGGGCGCGCGCUGCCGCCGCUCCUCGCGCUGUGGGAGCGCCGCGUGCUGCUGAGCUGAGCGCGGGGAGACGCGCCGACCGCCCCCCUCCCACACGGCGCCGGUGCGUGUGGAGCCGCUGGCGGCGGGCGCGGGUCGCGCUGCGUGCUGCCUCAGCGACGCGUCCGUCACAGCUGUCGAAGAUGUAUGAUUAGAACUUAAGUGACACUUGGCAGGAAUGGAACUGCACAGAUGUUACCCGUGCCCCAAUCCAGGAGAUACUUCUGCUUAACUCGACACAGCUCCUUCAGCGAUGGGAAGCACAGGAACCAAGGCACCCAGCUCCCGGAUCCCAGUGCCUACCACAGACCGCCAGGACGCACUGCUCUGAAGGAUUCCUGUUCAGGUCAGGCUGUGAAAGGAGAUCAUGGAGAAGGAUCCAGUCUCCUCAGCAGCAAUUAUUUCAAUUUUCAUUACUUCUUUCAAAAAAAAUCAUUUUAUUGUGCAG